This 1060-nucleotide long non-coding RNA is filed under the name Vulpes vulpes (red fox). Its description in RNAcentral is "lncRNA (ENSVVUG00000000600.1)". The record is from RNAcentral. Lineage: Eukaryota; Metazoa; Chordata; Mammalia; Carnivora; Canidae.
CCCAGGGGAGCCCGGGAUCUGGGAUGGGGUUGGGCUCGGGGUCGGGGUUGGGGGCAGGAAGAUGGGGCCAGGGGAGCCCAGGAUCCAGGAAAGGCUCAGGGUCAGGGUCGGGGGCAGGAGGAUGGGGCCCAGGGGGGGCCAGGACGGGCUCCAGGACCUACGAGGACAGUGAGCGCCGCCUGCCUGGCAGCCCGUGAGGGGUCGCCUGUCACCCUGCCGAUCUCCGCCACCUCCCGCAGCCAGAACGCGGGGCCAGGUGCCCGUCGGGGCCUUGGCGGGCUCCUCCCGCAGGUGCAGCCGCAGUUAGCACGGGGGACGCUGACUCAGCGCCAGGUGGAGCCUCCUGGGAGCAGCGGGCAGCUUAGGAACAGCAGAGCUGGGGCUGCCAGGGCCGCAGGGCAGGGGUCACCCGCGGAGCCCCCCAGCCCCGCACGGUCUGCAGGGCUCCCAGCAAGGCCCCCGCCCGGAACAGCAGGCCCACAGGGGAGCGCGCCCAGGUCCCUGACGCGGGUCUCCUUUGAGUCACGCCUGCUUCUCCACGUCCCUGGCUCCGUGGCAGCGCGUGCGCAGGUGUCCCCACUGCCCCCCGCAGCCCACGAGCAGCGAGGGGGUGCAAAGUCUGUGCGAAGUUCUGGCCGUGCUGGGGUUGCCGUGAGGUCAGAGAGGCCUGUACUGAGCCGGGGCAGGGGCCCACCUGCCUGCCCACCGCACCCCCGUCGGUCACUCCUCAGGGUCUCAGAAAUGCGUGUCCAACAGCUACGGUCACUCGUGGGUCAUACGUGGGUCACGGGAGCAGCGCCCUCCUGCACACGAGCGAACAAGCGAGCGAGCAAGGGAGCAGCCGCCUCUCCCCGGGGCUGUGGUCUGGGCUGCGGGAGGGGGCACACGGGGCCCGGACCCUCGGCCUCCUGGUCCGGGUCCAUUUUCCACGUCAGCCACGUCCCCCAGGUCGGGGUCACUUUGCACAGGAAUGCGGGACCCUCGGGGCCGAUGCUGUCUUUAGAGCCCCCCCCUGCCCCGGGAACCCAAAGGAGGCUGAAUGUGACGGGGGGUGGGGGGG